GAUGAACGCUGGCGGCGUGCCUAAUACAUGCAAGUCGAGCGAACGGACGAGAAGCUUGCUUUUCUGAUGUUAGCGGCGGACGGGUGAGUAACACGUGGAUAACCUACCUAUAAGACUGGGAUAACUUCGGGAAACCGGAGCUAAUACCGGAUAAUAUUUUGAACCGCAUGGUUCAAAAGUGAAAGACGGUCUUGCUGUCACUUAUAGAUGGAUCCGCGCUGCAUUAGCUAGUUGGUAAGGUAACGGCUUACCAAGGCAACGAUGCAUAGCCGACCUGAGAGGGUGAUCGGCCACACUGGAACUGAGACACGGUCCAGACUCCUACGGGAGGCAGCAGUGGGGAAUCUUGCGCAAUGGGCGAAAGCCUGACGGAGCAACGCCGCGUGAGUGAUGAAGGUCUUCGGAUCGUAAAACUCUGUUAUUAGGGAAGAAAAUAUGUGUAAGUAACUGUGCACAUCUUGACGGUACCGAAUCAGAAAGCCACGGCUAACUACGUG
RNAcentral lists this ribosomal RNA (497 nucleotides) under uncultured bacterium. Its description in RNAcentral is "partial 16S ribosomal RNA". It matches the Rfam family "Bacterial small subunit ribosomal RNA", at positions 28 to 507 of the family's 1533-position model. The record is from RNAcentral.